Molecule: ribosomal RNA, 545 nt
Filed under: uncultured archaeon
Lineage: Archaea
Description: bacterial SSU rRNA
Rfam family: Archaeal small subunit ribosomal RNA
Source: RNAcentral
GCCCAGGCGCGAAACCUCUGCAAUAGGCGAAAGCUUGACAGGGUUACUCUGAGUGACGUCCGUUAAGGACGUCUUUUGGCACCUCUAAAAAUGGUGCAGAAUAAGGGGUGGGCAAGUCUGGUGUCAGCCGCCGCGGUAAUACCAGCACCCCGAGUGGUCGGGACGAUUAUUGGGCCUAAAGCAUCCGUAGCCGGUUCUGCAAGUCUUCCGUUAAAUCCACCUGCUCAACAGAUGGGCCGCGGAGGAUACUACAGGGCUAGGAGGCGGGAGAGGCAAGCGGUACUCAGUGGGUAGGGGUAAAAUCCUCUGAUCCACUGAAGACCACCAGUGGCGAAGGCGGCUUGCCAGAACGCGCUCGACGGUGAGGGAUGAAAGCUGGGGGAGCAAACCGGAUUAGAUACCCGGGUAGUCCCAGCUGUAAACGAUGCAGACUCGGUNGAUGGGUUGGCUUCGAGCCAACCCAGUGCCGCAGGGAAGCCGUUAAGUCUGCCGCCUGGGGAGUACGGUCGCAAGACUGAAACUUAAAGGAAUUGGCGGGGGAACAC